RNAcentral lists this ribosomal RNA (301 nucleotides) under uncultured bacterium. RNAcentral describes it as "partial 16S ribosomal RNA". It matches the Rfam family "Bacterial small subunit ribosomal RNA", at positions 509 to 807 of the family's 1533-position model. The record is from RNAcentral.
CAGUCGCCACGGGAAUACAGAGGGUGCGAGCGUUAAUCGGAUUUACUGGGCGUAAAGCGUGCGUAGGCGGCUUUUUAAGUCGGAUGUGAAAUCCCUGAGCUUAACUUGGGAAUUGCAUUCGAUACUGGUUAGCUAGAGUGUGGGAGAGGAUGGUAGAAUUCCAGGUGUAGCGGUGAAAUGCGUAGAGAUCUGGAGGAAUACCGAUGGCGAAGGCAGCCAUCUGGCCUAACACUGACGCUGAGGUACGAAAGCAUGGGGAGCAAACAGGAUUAGAUACCCCGGUAGUCCCUGUCUCUUAUAC